RNAcentral lists this ribosomal RNA (293 nucleotides) under uncultured bacterium. RNAcentral describes it as "partial 16S ribosomal RNA". It matches the Rfam family "Bacterial small subunit ribosomal RNA", at positions 505 to 796 of the family's 1533-position model. The record is from RNAcentral.
GUGCCAGCCGCCGCGGUAAGACGUAGGGGGCAAGCGUUAUCCGGAUUCACUGGGCGUAAAGGGCGCGUAGGCGGUUACGUAAGUCCGGCGUGAAAUCUCACGGCUCAACCGUGGAAUGCCGUCGGAUACUGCGUUGACUAGAGGGCGGUAGAGGUACCUGGAACUAGCGGUGUAGCGGUGAAAUGCGCAGAUAUCGCUAGGAACGCCGGUGGCGAAGGCGAGGUACUGGGCCGUUCCUGACGCUGAGGCGCGAAAGCUAGGGGAGCGAACCGGAUUAGAAACCCUCGUAGUCC